RNAcentral lists this long non-coding RNA (1850 nucleotides) under Anas platyrhynchos platyrhynchos (common mallard). Its description in RNAcentral is "lncRNA (ENSAPLG00000022978.1)". The record is from RNAcentral. Lineage: Eukaryota; Metazoa; Chordata; Aves; Anseriformes; Anatidae.
GCACCUGCCCUCGGUCUCCCAGACACAUUCCCAGGACCAGGAGGGACUCUUUGAAACGCGUCUUGCAGAUGAUACCAAGCUGAGUGGUGCAGUGGAUACUAUGGAAGGAAGGGAUGUCAUCCAAAAGGUCCUGAAUAAGCUUGAGAAGUGGGCCUAUGUGAACCAAAUGAGGUUCAAAAAGGCCAAGUGCAAGUUGCUGCACCUGGGCUGAGGCAAUCCCAGACAUGAGUACAGACUAGGUGAGGAACUCAUUGAGAGCAGCUCUGCAGAGAAGGACGUGGGGUCCUGAUGAAUAAAAAGCUCGACAUGAGCUGGCAGUGUGUGUUUCCAGCCCAGAAAGCCAACUGCAUCCUGGGUUGCAUCAACGGAGGAAUGUGAGCAGCUCGAGGGAGGGGAUUGGCCCCCUCUGCUCUGCUCUCAUGAGGCCUCACCUGGAGUAUUGUGUCCAGGUCUGGAGCCCCCAGCACAAGCAGGAUGUGGAGCUCUUAGAACAGGUUCAGGGGAGGGCCGUGAAGAUGAUCAAGGGGUUGGAGCAUCUCUCCUACAAAGAAAGACUGUGAGAGCUGGGGAUGUUCAGCCUACAGAAGCGAAGGCUCCAGGGUGACUUCAUUGGGGUGUAACUAGGUGGGGGGCUGUAACUAGAUGGUCCUUGAGGUCUGUUCCAGCCCAAGAUAAUAUAUUAUUGUGUGAUUCUAAGAUUCUAUGAAAUCCAAGGCACCAUGACCUGGAGUGUGGAGUGGCCCUUGUCCUUGUCCUGCGUGGUCAGGAGCAGCCGCUUCCUGAAGGAGUGGGCAUCAUCCCUGCAUAUCGCAGCUCCCUUCUUCGAAAAAAACAGGCCCUACAAGGUGGCUCUGGUCCUCGUGGUAUCAGCUGCAAGCAUUCGCUUUGGUGUUUAUCUCUAUCGAAAGCAAGUGGAACUGGCUGCCAAACUCGAGGAACAAGCUGCAGUGCUGGAUGAAUACCGUACAAACGCUGAGCGCCAAUCUGCAAGACUGAAGGAACUAGCUGAAGAGCUGGUGAGGAAGGAUACAGAACGUGAGGAACAAGCAGAAGAUCUGGCACAAAAAGAUAAAAGGCUGGAACUGUCAGCAGAGCUGGAGGAAAAGAAUGCAAGGCUGACACACCAAUCUGCAAGACUUAAGGAACUAGCCAAAGAGCAGGGUGAGUACCCAUCCAUCCCCCAAAUGAAGGAAUUUGGGUUCUACCAGUGGACAUUUUGAGAAGGCAAGAUGUCCCUUUCCAUCAUGCUUUCUUUUUGCUUUUGUUUGGCAGAGAAAAAAUAUGCAAAGCUCCGUGAGUAUCCUGCACCAUAACAAAGCAGUUUGGGGUUCAGGCAUGGGGUGAGAAGCUCUCCCCUCUCAUCAGAUAUUGCUUUUGCUUCUUUUUCCAGGGGAACAAGCUGCAGAGCUGGGUGAGUGUCCCUGAGCUUGGGCCCAAGGGCAAUGUCAAGGCAAUGUGCAGGGGAGGGUGGGCAGUUGGGACAGAGCAGCCCAGGGCUGGCCCCUCACCCAGAUGGAGAAGUGAGGAGUGUGGGGCUGCCCUGGGCAUGGGACACAGCCGGGAUGGCUGAAAGGAACGGGGAUCAAGGUUAGGAUGGGGAGCGAGGUGUGGGGCUGCCCCGCUCUACUCUGAUGCUUCCAGGACAGGGACGUCCUCUAUAUGUCCCAAUUCAUUUCCAGUUGUCUUUUGGUGGCAUUGUACAGAAAGCUGCACAAGUUUCUGUGCUGGUUGUUCUGCUUGCACAAGCCAUGCUCCCAGAUGAACUUCACUCACUAUUAGUCUGGUCCCUCCUUUGGGAGAAAAGUUAUAUUUGGCCACUUCCUAGAAGAAUAAAUUUGGGGGCAUAGCCA